GACGAACGCUGGCGGCGUGCCUAAUACAUGCAAGUAGAACGCUGAAGGAGGAGCUUGCUUCUCUGGAUGAGUUGCGAACGGGUGAGUAACGCGUAGGUAACCUGCCCGGUAGCGGGGGAUAACUAUUGGAAACGAUAGCUAAUACCGCAUAACAGUAGAUAUCGCAUGAUAGCUGCUUGAAAGGUGCAAUUGCACCACUACCAGAUGGACCUGCGUUGUAUUAGCUAGUUGGUGAAGUAACGGCUCACCAAGGCGACGAUACAUAGCCGACCUGAGAGGGUGAUCGGCCACACUGGGACUGAGACACGGCCCAGACUCCUACGGGAGGCAGCAGUAGGGAAUCUUCGGCAAUGGACGGAAGUCUGACCGAGCAACGCCGCGUGAGUGAAGAAGGUUUUCGGAUCGUAAAGCUCUGUUGUAAGAGAAAAACGAGUGUGAGAGUGGAAAGUUCACACUGUGACGGUAUCUUACCAGAAAGGGACGGCUAACUACGUGCCAGCAGCCGCGGUAAUACGUAGGUCCCGAGCGUUGUCCGGAUUUAUUGGGCGUAAAGCGAGCGCAGGCGGUUAGAUAAGUCUGAAGUUAAAGGCUGUGGCUUAACCAUAAUACGCUUUGGAAACUGUUUAACUUGAGUGCAAGAGGGGAAAGUGGAAUUCCAUGUGUAGCGGUGAAAUGCGUAGAUAUAUGGAGGAACACCGGUGGCGAAAGCGGCUCUCUGGCUUGUAACUGACGCUGAGGCUCGAAAGCGUGGGGAGCAAACAGG
Molecule: ribosomal RNA, 763 nt
Filed under: uncultured Streptococcus sp.
Lineage: Bacteria; Bacillati; Bacillota; Bacilli; Lactobacillales; Streptococcaceae
Description: bacterial SSU rRNA
Rfam family: Bacterial small subunit ribosomal RNA
Source: RNAcentral